Molecule: long non-coding RNA, 4532 nt
Organism: Phyllostomus discolor (pale spear-nosed bat)
Lineage: Eukaryota; Metazoa; Chordata; Mammalia; Chiroptera; Phyllostomidae
Exons: 3
Source: RefSeq, a predicted model, not a curated record
UCCCGCCCAGCCCCCUGAGGCUCCGCCUUCUUCCCCGUCCGGCAGUGGAGGGGGAGGUUACAGAGCCGGGGGAGCGGAGCUCGGAGAUCGCGACCGCACGUGCGGCUCCUGCCGGCCCCGCCUCGGACCCAACCAAGCGUUCCGCGAAGGGGCGCCACGAGGUGGGGUCGGGGGGGAAAAAGCGAAAGAAACCACCCCUCUGGGAUCCUAGGGAGGGAGGCGAGCUGCAGAAAGACGCUGUGUUUGGACCCCUGUGAUCUGGGCCUUUCCUCGCGCGAAGAAGAGAGAGGCGGGAGGGGACCUUGCCGGCGUCUCUCCCUCACGGUCCAGUGGCCCUCUGCGAUUCCCGGCCCCUGUUCCCCGCGAACGCUCCCUUCGGGCUGACUGGGGGUGGUUCUUUGGCCGGAGUACCGUUUUACUAAUUCGGAACGGGGAAGGGGAGGCCACUCUGAGAGAAGGCGUUUCCAGCGGAGGAGGCUUCGUGACUCCUAGCUUCCCGCCUGUCCUCCUGUCCCGCACCCACCUGCCCACCCAUUACUCGGGAUGUCGCGCCCUCGAGAGUUGUAUUCUGGAUGGACGGCGGGGGGGGGGCGCCGAGGAAGCCAAGCCUCCCCCGCUAGCUCUGCCUUUCCAGUUCUUCAGUGUCUCCACAGUCAUCACAUUCCAGUUCCCCAAGGGCUUGAGUACUUGAACACUCCAGACAAAAGGUUUUGACAGGGCUGGGUGGGCCAGGCCUGGCCCUUCACUUGUGAAAAGGAGAGACAAUUCCAAAUGGCCCUCCUGAGGAGUUAGCUGCGCAAGGUGGGAUAAUCCAGCAUGGAGAAGCACACUGAGGUCUCGGGGCUAAAAAGAGUGGUCUCAAAGGUAAGUGCCAGGUUGAGGGAUACUGCUGUUAACUAAAAUGUAGUGAGGAAUUUAGUGUGAAAAUAACUCGGCUGCCUUUUGCAUGAGGCUUCACAUUAUAGGAAAGAAGAUGGAGGACAGGUAGAAGGGUCCUCCUACCAGAAAAUGGCUAGUAAAAGGGACGAGGCAAGUGGUAGAAGGCCGAGAGUAUAAAACUUCAGAACAUUUGCCCUUUGUGUGUUUAUACAGUGGGCCACAAGGUCCCAGAGCAGUUUUUCCAGCUCAGAUUCCUUGCAGAGAUAGACAGGAAAGGAAAGGAAGUAGGAAUCUGGUGAUAAACUGGUUAGUCUGAGUAUGCUUUAGGAACACUCUGAUUGUCUUUAUCUGAUGCUAACGUUCUAGAAGGAGUCACUUCCAAACAAAUGGUAACAUGGAUGUCACUGAAAUUCUCUUCAGUAUUGUAUGACAUCUUAUCCAUCUGUACCUGCGAUAUCCUGAACUAGAACAGGGAAAGAUGUGAAUGUCCAUCCUCUGGAAUACAAGCUCACAGACUGGCAGUUAAUGGCUUUCUUGAGAAUAACAACAAAAGUUUCAUUUAUAAAGAGAGUUUAUGAAAACUGUUCAUUCUGUUUUAAUUUGGUUACCUUGAGUAAAUAGUAAGCAUAACAAACAUGCACUUAAACUUCUUAGUUGCUUAAGAAACAAUGAUGAAUAAAAGUGCAAAUAAGAUGUGCUAGUUCUGGAAUUUCACAGGAAGUUCACAGAAGCUAUAGGACUCUUUUGGUGGGGUCUCAAAGGGACCCUCCACCCCUCUCUGGUGGUUGGGAUUUUAGUUAUAACACCAGGUCCUGUCGUGCUGGAUAUAUUAACUGCUUGGAUAAAGGGAAAAAUAUGAACACCCACAUGAGAUCCCUGCUUUGCUCUCACCUGAUGCUAGGUGAGAUCUACAAAAUCUACAUUUGCUCCUUUUGACUUGAUGUGGCACCAAAUCCCAGAAAAUCUUAAGAAAUUCUUCUACAGGCAAGGCAGUGGUUACAUUUUUCUUUUUCAAGGGUAGCCUAAUGUAUCAUUCAUUAGCCUAAUAUAUUAUUCGAUUAGCCUAAACAGAAUUCUUACCCUCUACUUCUUUGAAGAAAGAACCCUGGUAAGUAGACCAUGGAGCCUGAGUUAGAAACCAAGGGCUGCAGAGAUUGUCGUCAAAGGACCUCAGCCCCAGAUGCUUAGUUUUGACAGGCCUGGAGAAGUGCUGGGUGGGCGCCCUCUACAUCUAGCUUUGAAGAUAUACAGGGGGCUGGUGGGAGCCUUCCCCCUCCUUUAACUACCCACCCUAUAGCCUUUUGAGAUACUAAGAAGAUUGUUAGAGGGAUUUUACUAGAACAAUUAUCAACUAUAGAAUUCCUUGCAACAAAACAUUUUGAUGAAAUACCCUUGGGAACAGAGUGGUUUGAAUUGAUCGAGAGGAAAAUAAGUAGCCGUGCUUCCAUUUGCCCAGGCCCCCAGUCCCCACGUUGAUGACGCUGAGCUGAACCUUUGGUCCUCCGGAGCUGCCCUACCUCAGAACACUUGGACUGGAACUGCUCUGUCUACCCCAUCCAGCCCUUCUCCCUUCCCUCCAGAGCUGCUUUUUGACCUUGAGACUUCCAGUCACCAAACCCCUUCAGUUCUUUCAGUUUAUUAGCUGUUUUCGGCUUCACUUAUUUCCUUUUGCAUUUAAUACCUGGGUUCGCCAUUUUGAAUAUAUUCUUCUAAUAAUUUCUUAACAAUCUCAAAAUUCAGGUCAAAGCAGUGGACAUUUUAUUGCAUUUUGCUUUAAAGUCACUAAUAACGACUAAAGAAAAUCAAAAUAAACCAGUUGAUUAGUCACAUCUCCAAGGCAACAGUUGCAGCAAUGGGAGUACUCACUCACAGUUGCUCCUUCAACCAAGGUUCGUGCCUGGUUGGCUCCCUUUCCCCCUUCACUGCAAAGACUGUUCAGAUUUCUAUGGCACUCUUCAAGACCCUCAUCAGCUCCAGCCCUGCCACUCUGAAACCUAGCUUCUUUCAUGGGUGCUGAUCUAAAGUUUAUCAGUAUUACCCCUUGAAUCCUCACACCAGUGUUUUGAGGGAGGCACUGGCAUUAUUCCUGGUUUACGGAUGCUCAAGAUCUUCAAGAAUGUAAGUGGUGGUGUGUGGAUCAGGAAAUCUGACUUCAGCUUCACACUCUUUCUCCCUACACUGUCUUUCUUCCAGUCUCCUCACUAGGGCUCUAGUCUUCUCCAUCUCUAAACUUCUAUGUAUCUUCCUCUCAGACCAUUCUCUCCUGAUUCUUCUCAGUCACCUUCCUCCUCCCAAAGCUCUAUAUCCCAAGCCUCACUGGCUGUUCCAUUGUUCAUUUAUUCAUUUAGCAAAUGGUUAUUAAGUACCUAUUGUGUCCCAGGUGUUGGGGACACAGAGGUAAACAAGACCUAAUCCCCCAUCCCGGGGCUUAAAUUCUAAUGAGCUAGUUUCCCUCUUAAAUAUCCAAUAUGUAGCAAUCUCCUAGACUCUUCUUUCUAGCUACAGAAUAUUGAAGUCACGGUACAUUUCACACUACCCUCUAGCACCAGCACCGAGAAGGUAUCAGGUACGUGUUUGGCAGACAGAUAAAUAAUUUCAGACAAAGUAAUUAAGGUUUGUAAAUUUGUCCUUAGUUCUCUUUCUGAAAAGUAGCUACUUCAGCUGGGCUUUAGCUCUUACGCGUUUUCAUCUGAGCAGAUCUGGGGUGGUUCUGAAAACCAGCCCUUUGCCAUUAUUGACUGACUAGUUUACUUUAGCUGAAAUGUAUUCCCAGCAAAGUUACCUCAAACUGGUACCUAUACUUAAACCUUGUAAUCUAUGAUUGUAGAAAGAAAGACACACAGCCUUAUUAAAGGAACUUCAGCAUUUUUAAGGGGGAAGAUAUUUGUGAGACAAGGUACUUUUCAAACACAUAUUUUGCUGCUUCUAACCUAGUGGUUCUCAAAGGGAGGUGAUUUUGUCCCCAAAGGAACAUCUGGCCCUGUCUGGAGACAUGCUUGGUUGUCACAACUGGCUGGGGAAGGAGUGGGAGCCGCACAAUGCUACUGAUGUCUAGUGGAUAGAGUCUUGGGAUGCUGCUAAAAAUCCUAGUGUGCGGGGCAUCUCAUAACAAAGAGUUAUUGGCACUAGUUGAGAACCACUGAUCUAAAGGGAGAAAUUGACUGGCACAUUGAGGUGCCCUAUGAGUUGGGCUGAAGGAAGAAUCUCACCUGGGGAUCCUGGCUGAACCUGCUGAAGGUCUGUUGACAGGAGUUGCUGAAGGUGAAGGAUCUAUGGGACCUGUGAAGUGAGGCAACUGGGCUCACUUUCUCCAUCUACUCUUCCCUUAAGUUUAUGUGGGCCUCUUUUUGGCCCCAAGAUGCUUGAUGCACUAUUUAUGUCUUCCUGUAUGGGGGUGGGGGUGGGAAUAAAUAGAAUAGUUCCUUUAUCUGACAAAAGCACUUUUUGCAUUAGUAUAAGUCCUGUCUCUGGCUGUAAAAUUGCUAAUGUGUAGAACACGCCCUCUUUGUCAACAAAGGUAUGGCAACAUUUAUUUCAGUACAAAUUAAAUGAUAGUGAAGUCAAAGAAAAAAGUUAUAAAUGCUAAAGCUUCCCACUAAGUCAGUGAAGAAUCACUUAUCAAACUAAGAUUAGUCUUAAAGAAGAGUUAUGUU